GGCCCAAUGGUCUAGAAGUAUGAUACACGCUUCGGGGUCUCCCGCUUGCUUACGUAAGCUGUGUGUGGUCCCGGGUUCAAUUCCCGGUUGGGCCC
Mycena belliarum is the source of this 95-nucleotide non-coding RNA. The record is from the annotation of a GenBank genome assembly. Lineage: Eukaryota; Fungi; Basidiomycota; Agaricomycetes; Agaricales; Mycenaceae.